GUGGGUAGUUUGACUGGGGCGGUCUCCUCCUAAAGAGUAACGGAGGAGCACGAAGGUUGGCUAAUCCUGGUCGGACAUCAGGAGGUUAGUGCAAUGGCAUAAGCCAGCUUGACUGCGAGCGUGACGGCGCGAGCAGGUGCGAAAGCAGGUCAUAGUGAUCCGGUGGUUCUGAAUGGAAGGGCCAUCGCUCAACGGAUAAAAGGUACUCCGGGGAUAACAGGCUGAUACCGCCCAAGAGUUCAUAUCGACGGCGGUGUUUGGCACCUCGAUGUCGGCUCAUCACAUCCUGGGGCUGAAGUAGGUCCCAAGGGUAUGGCUGUUCGCCAUUUAAAGUGGUACGCGAGCUGGGUUUAGAACGUCGUGAGACAGUUCGGUCCCUAUCUGCCGUGGGCGCUGGAGAACUGAGGGGGGCUGCUCCUAGUACGAGAGGACCGGAGUGGACGCAUCACUGGUGUUCGGGUUGUCAUGCCAAUGGCACUGCCCGGUAGCUAAAUGCGGAAGAGAUAAGUGCUGAAAGCAUCUAAGCACGAAACUUGCCCCGAGAUGAGUUCUCCCUGAGACUUAGAGUCUCCUGAAGGAACGUUGAAGACGACGACGUUGAUAGGCCGGGUGUGUAAGCG
This 620-nucleotide ribosomal RNA is filed under the name Salmonella enterica. Its description in RNAcentral is "partial 23S ribosomal RNA". It matches the Rfam family "Bacterial large subunit ribosomal RNA", at positions 2261 to 2875 of the family's 2925-position model. The record is from RNAcentral. RNAcentral also lists the same sequence under 3 other names. Lineage: Bacteria; Pseudomonadati; Pseudomonadota; Gammaproteobacteria; Enterobacterales; Enterobacteriaceae.